RNAcentral lists this ribosomal RNA (253 nucleotides) under uncultured bacterium. Its description in RNAcentral is "partial 16S ribosomal RNA". It matches the Rfam family "Bacterial small subunit ribosomal RNA", at positions 524 to 776 of the family's 1533-position model. The record is from RNAcentral.
UACGUAGGGUGCGAGCGUUAAUCGGAAUUACUGGGCGUAAAGCGUGCGCAGGCGGUUUUGUAAGCCGGAUGUGAAAUCCCCGGGCUUAACCUGGGAAUGGCAUUCGGGACUGCAAGGCUGGAGUGCGGCAGAGGGGGGUGGAAUUCCACGUGUAGCAGUGAAAUGCGUAGAGAUGUGGAGGAACACCGAUGGCGAAGGCAGCCCCCUGGGCUAACACUGACGCUCAUGCACGAAAGCGUGGGGAGCAAACAGG